GACAGCAGUGCUGGGGGAGGGCAGAGAAAAUGAGUGGUAGGAGCAGAACUAGGGCUUCAGGAGGAGUCGCUAUCAUUCCUUCCCUUCACAUCCGCUGUUCACUGCACCCAGAGCCCCAGGCCAAGAGAACGACUGCUCAUUCCUGAGAUAAGGAUCCUGCUGCCAUCUGCCAGAUCCUGAGGUGGCUCAAGGCAAGCCAGGGAUGAGCCAGAGCUCGGCUGAGAGCAGAGGCUCCACCCUGGAGAACAGCCGCCAGGAGCACCCACGCAGGGAGGACUCUCUCCAUGCCAUAGGAGCUUGCCAGGCAGGAGGGUGCUGCCAGAACUCCUGACCCUCCCUCUGGAGGUGAGGGAGUGGAGAAAAGGCAGCUCCAGCUGAGGGUAUUGAAGCGUGAAUGCAGUCAGCACUGAGUGUCAUCACACGCCCAUAGACGCACCACACAGGGGGAUGUCCAGGUCCCCACGACACAGCCAGAGCCUCCCGAGUGGACUCCGCCAGCCCUGCUCUCACCAGACAGAGAGGGCUGCGGCUAUCCUGCCAGAAAUGUCAUCAUUCCCACACAGGUGCACACACCCACACACUCACAUAGACACUCACGCUCACACAAAGGCUGAAAAUGCCCCCCACUUCCCACGUUCCUCUUUCGUGCCCCUUCAUCCCAAAUCCAGAUCGCAGGAGGGACUCAGCGAUGUCGGCACACAAUGUCGCUUGGCGGGACUUGCCACAACCUGGGCGGGAAGAUACAAUGUCCAAACUUGAGCCCUGCUCUGCAGACCUGUCCUGGUGGGGCGAGAGGUUUCUGGAGUUGCCAUCUCUGCCACCCUCAGGCCUCAUCCUGGCAGGGGCACUAUCCUGGAGCUCUCAUAGCACAGGGGAGCUCUCACCGGCCACGAUGGCAGCAAUCACUCAGACUUACACCAGCCUUGGUCUCUUGCUCUUUCAAGGCAAGUGACUCCCCUGCCCCUUGGGUCUGGCCUUGGAAGAGGAAAAGUAGCCCUGGGAAUAGCACACAGUGUGAUGAAAAUUGAUCUUUCCCAGGCUCCUCCUCGGCCCUCCUACCCCACCUCCAGCUCCCGCAGAGUAAUCCCUGUCCUCCCAGGCACAGCACGAGCUUGCAGGGCACCUGCACACAUGUGUGAGCCCGACAGGGGACAUGCAAAGAUCCACUCAAAGACCUUCACACCACAGACACCCACCCUGAUCCUCAGGCACAGGCUCUCCUGGGCGGAGGACCCCUGGCAAUACCCACAUCCGGCUGCAGCAGGGCAAGAGUGGGCAGCACCCCUCCAGGCAUCUCAGGCAGCUUCAGGCUCCCCUGUGAGCCCUUGCUGCACGUUCCUGCCCACCUAGCCUCAUGCUGGCUGUCCCUGCCCCUGCCCAGCCCCGUACCUGGGCUCAGGCACACGAGCAGCAGGUGGAAUGCUCCUCCAGCUCCCAUGUCUCUAGGCUCGGUGUUUCCUCCGCCUGGGCUGGGUAUCCCGUGGG
Molecule: long non-coding RNA, 1485 nt
Organism: Sapajus apella (tufted capuchin)
Lineage: Eukaryota; Metazoa; Chordata; Mammalia; Primates; Cebidae
Exons: 3
Source: RefSeq, a predicted model, not a curated record